UACGAAGGGGGCUAGCGUUGCUCGGAAUCACUGGGCGUAAAGGGUGCGUAGGCGGGUCUUUAAGUCAGGGGUGAAAUCCUGGAGCUCAACUCCAGAACUGCCUUUGAUACUGAAGAUCUUGAGUUCGGGAGAGGUGAGUGGAACUGCGAGUGUAGAGGUGAAAUUCGUAGAUAUUCGCAAGAACACCAGUGGCGAAGGCGGCUCACUGGCCCGAUACUGACGCUGAGGAGCGAAAGUGUGGGGAGCGAACAGG
This 253-nucleotide ribosomal RNA is filed under the name uncultured bacterium. Its description in RNAcentral is "partial 16S ribosomal RNA". It matches the Rfam family "Bacterial small subunit ribosomal RNA", at positions 524 to 776 of the family's 1533-position model. The record is from RNAcentral.